GACCCUUAAACUCCGCAUAAAAAGCGCACUCCUCCUCAAUUUCUCGACGGUGUUUGAUCCGGGCGACGCAUCGAAGAGCCUUCGAUAAAUCUCGUGUCGUCACGAAGCGGGAUUCGGGGAUCAGGAUGAGUCCUGCGAGAUUGUCCGUUGUUAUACCCGUGAUUGGGUUCAUGUUCUUCACGCUGCUGCAGCUGAGUUACGGGCAGAGCAUGGCUCCUUCCCCUGCCCCUCAGGGCCCGUCCAGUAACGGGACCACAAUCGAUCAAGGAGUUGCGUGCUUGCUCCUACUCGUAGCGUUGGUUAUCACGUACCUCGUUCACUAGGGCGCUGACUAUAUGAUUAGCUCUUAGCUAUUAUGAUCGUAUUCUUUAUUCAUCCUUCCUCCGUAUGUAAUUCAUUCGAGGAAUGCUGAUUGCACAGUGCAGUCAUCAGUUGUGUUCAUGCACUAUGCGAUUGGCGUAAUAGAGAGUUCUGAUCUAUUUCAUUCAUUUUCUCUUAUACUUAAAAAGUUAUAUCUCCUUGGUUAA
Molecule: non-coding RNA, 527 nt
Organism: Punica granatum (pomegranate)
Lineage: Eukaryota; Viridiplantae; Streptophyta; Magnoliopsida; Myrtales; Lythraceae
Source: RefSeq, a predicted model, not a curated record